RNAcentral lists this ribosomal RNA (517 nucleotides) under uncultured bacterium. Its description in RNAcentral is "partial 16S ribosomal RNA". It matches the Rfam family "Bacterial small subunit ribosomal RNA", at positions 29 to 523 of the family's 1533-position model. The record is from RNAcentral.
AACGAACGCUGGCGGCGUGGAUAAGACAUGCAAGUCGAACGGGAUUUUUUUCUGUAGCAAUACAGGAAAAAGUCUAGUGGCGAACGGGUGCGUAACACGUGAGCAACCUGCCGUGAAGUGGGGGAUAGCUCGCCGAAAGGCGAAUUAAUACCGCAUGUGGCCAAGGAAGACAUCUUCCUGACGCCAAAGCCGGGGCAACCUGGCGCUCCUCGAGGGGCCCGCGGCCUAUCAGCUUGUUGGUGAGUUAACGGCUCACCAAGGCUAUGACGGGUAGCUGGUCUGAGAGGACGACCAGCCACACUGGAACUGAGACACGGUCCAGACACCUACGGGUGGCAGCAGUCGAGAAUUUUUCACAAUGGGGGAAACCCUGAUGGAGCGACGCCGCGUGGAGGAUGAAGGUUUUCGGAUUGUAAACUCCUGUCAUUAGAGAACAAGGCACACGGUUUAACUGGCCGUGUGUUGAUAGUAUCUGAAGAGGAAGAGACGGCUAACUCUGUGCCAGCAGCCGCCGUAA